AUCACUAAGCGGAGGAAAAGAAACUAACAAGGAUUCCCCUAGUAACGGCGAGUGAAGCGGGAUGAGCCCAGCACCGAAUCCCCUGCCUCGGAGGUAGGUGACCUGUGGUGUUUAGGACAGCCUCUGUGGCAGUGUUCUGGCGUCUGAGUCUCCCUGAUCGGGGCCUUUCCCAUAGCGGGUGUCAGGCCUCUACUGGCGCCGGUCGCUGUCGCUCUGAGCGUCCUUGGAGUCGGGUUGUUUGGGAAUGCAGCCCAAAGUGGGUGGUAAACUCCAUCUAAGGCUAAAUACAGACACGAGUCCGAUAGCGGACAAGUACCGUGAGGGAAAGUU
RNAcentral lists this ribosomal RNA (330 nucleotides) under Glycera alba. RNAcentral's name for it is "eukaryotic LSU rRNA". It matches the Rfam family "Eukaryotic large subunit ribosomal RNA", at positions 42 to 365 of the family's 3401-position model. Lineage: Eukaryota; Metazoa; Annelida; Polychaeta; Phyllodocida; Glyceridae. The record is from RNAcentral.